GAUGAACGCUGGCGGCGUGCCUAAUACAUGCAAGUCGAGCGAACAGACGAGGAGCUUGCUCCUCUGACGUUAGCGGCGGACGGGUGAGUAACACGUGGAUAACCUACCUAUAAGACUGGGAUAACUUCGGGAAACCGGAGCUAAUACCGGAUAAUAUAUUGAACCGCAUGGUUCAAUAGUGAAAGACGGUUUUGCUGUCACUUAUAGAUGGAUCCGCGCCGCAUUAGCUAGUUGGUAAGGUAACGGCUUACCAAGGCGACGCUGCGUAGCCGACCUGAGAGGGUGAUCGGCCACACUGGAACUGAGACACGGACCAGACUCCUACGGGAGGCAGCAGUAGGGAAUCUGCCGCAAUGGGCGAAAGCCUGACGGUGCAACGCCGCGUGAGUGAUGAAGGUCUUCGGAUCGUAAAACUCUGUUAUUAGGGAAGAACAAAUGUGUAAGUAACUAUGCACGUCUUGACGGUACCUAAUCAGAAAGCCACGGCUAACUACGUG
This 497-nucleotide ribosomal RNA is filed under the name uncultured bacterium. RNAcentral describes it as "partial 16S ribosomal RNA". It matches the Rfam family "Bacterial small subunit ribosomal RNA", at positions 28 to 507 of the family's 1533-position model. The record is from RNAcentral.